AAUCUGUUAGAGGAUGGGUAUCUUGUCACAGAACAACCCUUUUGGACAUCUUUAUAAAUGUUUUAGUAACUGAGCAAUGGAUCAGUGAUGCAAAAUACUUUCUUAUCUAGCAGCAGCUCUUAUCUGAAUUUACUGUAUCUACUGUGGAGAAAGCACGAGGUUCCAGUGCUACAGUGUUUGUGUUGUGAGCACUACAAAACUUUUUAAAACCACUGUUCAUUUGCUCAGUAUCAAAGAAAACAUUUUAACCAAACUUAAGUGCUAACUAGUCACUCAGAGGUCUUCACUACCUAAAAUUUUCCUUCAUAACAGAAUCUUUACAGUGUAUGAGAUAGAAAUAAUAAAAUAAUUUUCUUAUUCUUUCCCUUAGGCAUUUCCUGGAAACACAAACUCUGAUAGUGUGCUCCGACAUGAUUUGCAACACCCAGUCAUUGCUCGCUAUGUACGUAUAGUUCCUUUAGAUUGGAAUGGAGAAGGCCAAAUUGGGUUAAGAAUUGAGGUCUACAGCUGCUCCUACUAAGACUUGAAUAGACCAGUUGAGGAAAAGAUAGCAUUCAGAUACAUUUCAUGCUGGGUCUUGAGAGGGAAACAAGACAUAAUUCAUUGCCUGAUGACAAAGAUAAAAAUAAAACAAGUAAAAAUUCAAUUGAAGAAGCUCAUCUUGUCUAAAUAUUACAUGUUUUUCGGAGAUUUUUCCUUUAAUAUUUGAGUAUAACUUUAGAAUCUCUUCUAAAAAAAAAAACGAGAUGAGCAAUGGUGCAAGUGGUUAAGAGCACAACAGAUCAAGUUUUAAGAAAAGCAAGUGUAGUUUCUAAAUACCAUUCCUUGAAUUUGAUCCUGUGGGUGCUUACGUGAAGUCCACAUGCCUGCAAACUGUAAAUGUCUGAUGUCCUAUUUCUAUGCAAAUUUAGUACAGUAUUCUUGUAGGUGUUUUAGGGAAAAUAAAUACUUGAGAUUUAUCUUAAAAAAAUAACAAUAAAAAAUGUUAGAACAAGUUAAGAAGCACCUAUCUUGAAGACUCUUCCAUUGACAUCAAGUGAUUUAAGGCCUAUUGAAACACUUUGUCAUGGUAACUAGCAAUUAUGUUAAUUAACUAGCAAAAAUAUCUUGUGAUUUCUGUUGCUUUGACUUGGCUAUGUGCUUUCAUUAAACACUAUUGAGAAUCA
Molecule: non-coding RNA, 1166 nt
Organism: Phasianus colchicus (ring-necked pheasant)
Lineage: Eukaryota; Metazoa; Chordata; Aves; Galliformes; Phasianidae
Source: RefSeq, a predicted model, not a curated record